This 250-nucleotide ribosomal RNA is filed under the name uncultured bacterium. Its description in RNAcentral is "partial 16S ribosomal RNA". It matches the Rfam family "Bacterial small subunit ribosomal RNA", at positions 524 to 773 of the family's 1533-position model. The record is from RNAcentral.
UACGAAGGGGGCUAGCGUUGUUCGGAAUUACUGGGCGUAAAGGGCGCGUAGGCGGCUUAUCAAGUCAGGCGUGAAAGCCCCGGGCUUAACCUGGGAACUGCGCUUGAGACUGUUAGGCUUGAGUUUCGGAGAGGUAGGUGGAAUUCCCAGUGUAGAGGUGAAAUUCGUAGAUAUUGGGAAGAACACCGGUGGCGAAGGCGGCCUACUGGACGAAUACUGACGCUGAGGCGCGAAAGCGUGGGGAGCAAAC